AGUCGACGGGGCGAAGCCUGACCGCAAUGCCGCGUGCAGGAAGAAGGCCUUCGGGUUGUAAACUGCUUUUGUACGGAACGAAACGGUCUGCCCUAAUACGGCGGGCUAAUGACGGUACCGUAAGAAUAAGCACCGGCUAACUACGUGCCAGCAGCCGCGGUAAUACGUAGGGUGCGAGCGUUAAUCGGAAUUACUGGGCGUAAAGCGUGCGCAGGCGGUUAUGUAAGACAGUUGUGAAAUCCCCGGGCUCAACCUGGGAAUUGCAUCUGUGACUGCAUAGCUAGAGUACGGUAGAGGGGGAUGGAAUUCCGCGUGUAGCAGUGAAGUGCGUAGAUAUGCGGAGGAACACCGAUGGCGAAGGCAAUCCCCUGGACCUGUACUGACGCUCAUGCACGAAAG
Molecule: ribosomal RNA, 399 nt
Filed under: uncultured bacterium
Lineage: Bacteria
Description: bacterial SSU rRNA
Rfam family: Bacterial small subunit ribosomal RNA
Source: RNAcentral